GCUGCCGUCGUCUAGCGGUCAGGACGCUCGAUUCUCAGUCGGGAAACGCCGGUUCGAGUCCGGCUGGCAGUU
Molecule: transfer RNA, 72 nt
Filed under: Deinococcus yavapaiensis KR-236
Lineage: Bacteria; Thermotogati; Deinococcota; Deinococci; Deinococcales; Deinococcaceae
Rfam family: tRNA
About the family: Transfer RNA (tRNA) molecules are approximately 80 nucleotides in length. Their secondary structure includes four short double-helical elements and three loops (D, anti-codon, and T loops). Further hydrogen bonds mediate the characteristic L-shaped molecular structure. tRNAs have two regions of fundamental functional importance: the anti-codon, which is responsible for specific mRNA codon recognition, and the 3' end, to which the tRNAs corresponding amino acid is attached (by aminoacyl-tRNA synthetases). tRNAs cope with the degeneracy of the genetic code in two manners: having more than one tRNA (with a specific anti-codon) for a particular amino acid; and 'wobble' base-pairing, i.e. permitting non-standard base-pairing at the 3rd anti-codon position.
Source: Rfam by way of RNAcentral